CGUGUAGGCGGCCCGUUAAGUCUGGAGUGAAAGUCCUGCUUUUAAGGUGGGAAUUGCUUUGGAUACUGAUGGGCUUGAGUGCAGGAGAGGUUAUCGGAAUUCCCGGUGUAGCGGUGAAAUGCGUAGAGAUCGGGAGGAACACCAGUGGCGAAGGCGGGUAACUGGACUGCAACUGACGCUGAGGCGCGAAAGUGUGGGGAGCAAACAG
This 208-nucleotide ribosomal RNA is filed under the name uncultured bacterium. Its description in RNAcentral is "partial 16S ribosomal RNA". It matches the Rfam family "Bacterial small subunit ribosomal RNA", at positions 568 to 775 of the family's 1533-position model. The record is from RNAcentral.